GAACUGAAGAGGCGUAGAGCAGCCCGGGGUGCAGGUGCGCUCGGUACCAAGCGGUCUUCAUUCCUCCUGUUGCCGCCAGAGGGCUCAGAAAAAAAUGCAGACAACAUCAAACCUUUCUUGAAAAGCAGCUUCAGCUCAGAUCUGAUCUCAGACAUCAAAAGCCUUGACUCCAAAAUGGUGUGAAUUGGCUGCCAUCUGCUGGACUGGGACACAUAAAGGUGAAUUCUAGGUUUUAUGUAGCGUCCAGGAAAAUCAAAUCCCAGUCUCAAACACUAUGGUCUUAAUUAAUCUUUCUGAGAAUGUCAACAUGUACAUAUAGUAAAGAUUGAGCUUAAUUACAAUUGCAAUUUAUUGAUUGAAAAGGCACUUCACUAUAUUCUAAUGCAUUCAAGAUCAUUACAAAAUCCUGUUAUAAAUCAGGGUGAAACAUAUCACAAGAAAAUGACAUAUGAAAUAAUUUAUA
This 463-nucleotide long non-coding RNA is filed under the name Piliocolobus tephrosceles (Ugandan red Colobus). RNAcentral describes it as "lncRNA (ENSPTEG00000028808.1)". Lineage: Eukaryota; Metazoa; Chordata; Mammalia; Primates; Cercopithecidae. The record is from RNAcentral.